GUAGGGAAUCUUCCACAAUGGGCGAAAGCCUGAUGGAGCAACGCCGCGUGUGUGAUGAAGGGUUUCGGCUCGUAAAACACUGUUGUAAGAGAAGAAUGACAUUGAGAGUAACUGUUCAAUGUGUUGACGGUAUCUUACCAGAAAGGAACGGCUAAAUACGUGUCAG
Molecule: ribosomal RNA, 166 nt
Filed under: uncultured bacterium
Lineage: Bacteria
Description: partial 16S rRNA
Rfam family: Bacterial small subunit ribosomal RNA
Source: RNAcentral